GUGCCAGCAGCCGCGGUAAUACAGAGGGUGCAAGCGUUAAUCGGAAUUACUGGGCGUAAAGCGCGCGUAGGUGGUUCGUUAAGUUGGAUGUGAAAUCCCCGGGCUCAACCUGGGAACUGCAUUCAAAACUGACGAGCUAGAGUAUGGUAGAGGGUGGUGGAAUUUCCUGUGUAGCGGUGAAAUGCGUAGAUAUAGGAAGGAACACCAGUGGCGAAGGCGACCACCUGGACUGAUACUGACACUGAGGUGCGAAAGCGUGGGGAGCAAACAGGAUUAGAUACCCUAGUAGUCC
Molecule: ribosomal RNA, 292 nt
Filed under: Escherichia coli
Lineage: Bacteria; Pseudomonadati; Pseudomonadota; Gammaproteobacteria; Enterobacterales; Enterobacteriaceae
Description: partial 16S ribosomal RNA
Rfam family: Bacterial small subunit ribosomal RNA
Source: RNAcentral